RNAcentral lists this long non-coding RNA (296 nucleotides) under Brassica napus (rape). Its description in RNAcentral is "long non-coding RNA (BNAP_LNC011041)". Lineage: Eukaryota; Viridiplantae; Streptophyta; Magnoliopsida; Brassicales; Brassicaceae. The record is from RNAcentral.
AGCCAUUUUUCAAAAAAAAAAAAAAAAAAAAUACACUUCAUCUUAACGGCAAAUCCAAAUAUUCAACUUGUGCCAAAUCAUAUCUUGGACUGAACCCCGUCACUUGUGAAGCAUUUCUUGAUAAUAUUGAUGAGAGAGAGAGAGCACGAAUAGAAUGAAUCACACACUCUUCUUUACGUCCACAAAGAUCACUUUACUAUUAAAAAAACUAAUCUAAACUCUCUCUGUCAUUUAAAGAGUAUUUAAUCAUAGGGGGAACUGGCUUCAUCUCUUCUUACAUCAUCAAUUCAAUUCUC